AGAGUUUGAUCCUGGCUCAGGAUAAACGCUGGCGGCGUGCCUAACACAUGCAAGUCGAACGCUCUCACUACGGUGAGAGAGUGGCGGACGGGUGAGUAACACGUGGGUGAUCUAGCUUGAGGUGAGGGAUACCGGCGAGAAAUCGCCGACAAACCCGCAUAGCUUUCUUACGAGAAAGAAAACCUUUCGAGGUGCCUUGA
Molecule: ribosomal RNA, 200 nt
Filed under: uncultured bacterium
Lineage: Bacteria
Description: partial 16S ribosomal RNA
Rfam family: Bacterial small subunit ribosomal RNA
Source: RNAcentral